RNAcentral lists this long non-coding RNA (6965 nucleotides) under Solanum tuberosum (potato). RNAcentral's name for it is "long non-coding RNA (STUB_LNC006918)". The record is from RNAcentral. Lineage: Eukaryota; Viridiplantae; Streptophyta; Magnoliopsida; Solanales; Solanaceae.
AGCAAAUCAAACAUUGAGGCUCAGAUUUGUAAUACUGACGAUCCGGCAAGAUACACUGGAAUCAUCGCCAUGCCUGCAAGCACCGGUUGCAGGGUAACCUGUCAUCUGGAUUGCCACGCCAAGAUACAGGUACAAUCUCUUUCCUGCACUAUCGAUUUGCUCAGAGGAAGAAGAAAAUCAUCAUCAUAGCCUCGGAAUUUUCGCCAAUUAUUAUUAUUAUGACUACUAUUGAGUCUCACUUUGGGGUUGAGAGUUUCGAGAGAACAAGCAAAGAUUAAGGGGUCGUUUGGUAGUUGUUUAACUGAAAAGGGCUGUUGAAUUCAUGUUUUUUCAUAGCAAAAAUUGUAAUCACAGGUAUUGCAGAGCGGAGAAACAGCCCUUUGAAAUGUUCCCCUCUACUCUCUGCAACCCUCAUUCUUCGUCUCUAAGCUAAGCUUUUUUUCCUUGAACGGAGAAAUUCUCAUGAGUUCUUCGACCUGCGAAUUUCGCAGCUGAAACAACGACGACAACCCAGCAUAAUCUAACUCCUACUUUGUGGAGGUAACAAGAUUGUUUCCGAUACUCUAUCAGCAAAUGAAACAUUGAGGCUCAGAUUUGUUAUACUUACAACAUGGCAAGAGAGACUGGAAUCACCGCCAGGGCAGCAAGCACCGAUUGCAAGGUAACCUGAAAUCCAGGUUGCCCCCGCCAAGAUAUGGGUCCGAUUUCUUUCCUGCGCUAUCGAUUUGCUCAGGGAAAGAAGAAAAUCAUCAUCAUAGCCUCAGAAUUUUUGCAACAAUUAUUAUUAUUAUCAUUACUACUACUAUUGAUUCUCACUUUGGGGUUGAGAAUUUCGAGAGAACAAGCAAAGAUUUAGGGGUCAUUUGGUAGUUGUUCAACUGAAAAGGGCUGUUGAAUUUAUAUUUUUUCACAGCAAAAAUUGAAAUCACAGGUAUUGCAAAGAGGAGCAACAGCCCUUUGAAGUGUUCCCCUCUGCUCUCUGCAAUCCUCAUUAUUUGUCUCUGAGCUAAGCUUUUUUCCUUUAACGGACAAACUCGCAGACGCAACAACAAUAACAACAACAACAAAACCCAGUGUAAUCUCACUCCAAAGAUUGUUUCAGACACACUUUCAGCAAAUGAAACAAUGAGGCUCAGAUCUGUAGUACUUACAACACGGCAAGAGAGACUGGAAUCACCGCCAUGGCUGCAAGCACCAGUUCUGAUAUACUUCCAUCCGGGUUGCCUCGCCAAGAUACGGGUCCAAUUGCUCUCCCGCAUUGUCCAUUUGCUCAGAGAAAGAAGAAAAUCAUCAUCACAGCCUCAUAAUUUUCCCAUCAAUUAUUACUACUACUACUACUAUUGAUUAUCCCUUUGGAUUUGAGAAAUUGGAGAGAACAAGCAUAUUGCUGUUUAACAGCAAAAGGGCUAGUAAAGAUUCUUUUUUUCACAGCAAAAAUGAAAUCACAGGUAUUGCAGAGAGGAGCAACAUUCCCUUCAGAACUUUUUGCUUUGUUUCUCAACUCAAACAUUUUCCUACAUACGGAACACACCCUAAAUAUAACAAAAAAAAAAGCCAAGCUGAAUAGAGAAAAAUCGAGGCUCAGAUUUGUGUUAAGCUCGGGAAACAAGAGAGUCCAACAACGCCAUGGCUGCAAAAACCACCAGAAAAUCUGGGAGCAUGCCCCGCCAAGAUACAGUUUGGAUAACCUCAAAUGCCCAAUUAAUCAGAGCUCAGAAAGGAAUAAACAUUGGCAAAAAUCAUCAUUGCCUUUUUUAAGCCAUCCGAUUAUACUCAGCACCAUCGCUUCCACCAGCAACAAUCAAUGCUCCGGCAGAAGCAUUAGAGAAAAGAGAAUGCACUGUAUGGUCACAGCAUGGAAGUAUAGGUUAGAUUGAUAUGGUAUAUAUAUAUAUGUGUGUGUGUGUGUGUGUGUGUGUCUAAUUAGGUAGUUUUUCCUAAAAUUUAUAAAACGGUUGUUGGGGUUCUUACAUCAAGAGAGAAAAAAUUAGCUGAUGCAGAGAGUGGCAACCAACCUUACAAUGAAAAAUCCUCAACUCUCUGUAGCCUCAUUCUUUCCCUACUGAGAUUUUUGACAUUUGUUUCUCAACUCUUGAAAACAUUUUCUUUCAUAUCAAACACACCCUUGAUAUUAAACAAAAAAAAAAAAACCCAAAGCUGAAUAGAGAAAAAUUGAGACUCAGAUCUGUGUUAAGCUUGGGCAAAAGGAGAGUCCAACCAUGCCAUGGCUGCAAAAACCACAAGAAAAACUGGUGGCCCACCAAGAUACGGGUCUGAUAACCUCAAAUGCCCAAUUAAUCAGCUCAGCUUGGGCAAAAGGAGAGUCCAACCAUGCCAUGGCUGCAAAAACCACCAGAAAAGCUGGUGGCAUGCCCCGCCAAGAUACAGGUCUGAUAAUCUCAAAUGCCCGAUAAAUCAGCUCAUAAGGGAACAAAAAUUGGCAAAAAAUCAUCAUCACCUCUUUCAAGCCAUCCGAUUAUACUCACCAACAUCGCUUCCACUGGCAACAUUCAAUGCUCCGGCGGAAGCAUUAAAAAGGAGUUGAAAAAAAGAGUUGAAGGACAUAGAAACCCUUAAAACAAUAUGUAACAACAAUCCAAACUAGCUGUUAUUUAUGUACUCCCUCCGUUUAAAAUAGAUAAAAGGGUUGUUGGGAUCCUUACAGUAAUGGAGAAAUCAUUGGCUGAAUGUUGAGAGAGGCAACCACCCUUUCAAUGAAAAAUCUUCAACUCUUUGUAGCAUCAUUCAUUCCCUUCUGAGCUUUUUGUUUUGUGUAUCUCAACUCUCGAUAACAUAUUCCUUCAUACCAAACAUACCCUAAAUAUAACAAAAAAAGGCAAGUUGAACAGAGAAAAAUUUGAGGCUCAGAUUUGUGUUAAGCUCAGGCAACAAGAGAUUCCAACCACGCCAUGGCUGCAAAAGCCACCAGAAAAUCUGGGAGCAUGCCCCGCCAAGAUACGGGUGGUCAGAUAACAUCAAAUGCCCAAUUAAUCAGCACAGAAGGGAAUAAAAAUUGGCAAAAAUCAUCAUCGCCUCUUUCAAGCCGUCCGAUUAUACUCAGCACCAUUGCUUCCACCAGCUCCACCGGCAACAAUCAAUGCUCCGGCAGAAGCAUUAGAAAAAAGAAAAAAAAAAGAGUUGAAAGGCAAAGAAACCCAUUUCAAACAAAAGUUGUUAAUUAUAUACUUCCUCUGUUUAAAAUCGAUAAAAAGGCUGUUGGGAUUGUUACAGUAAUGGGGAAAUCACUGGCUGAAAGCAGAGAGAGGCAACCACCCUUCCAAUGAAAAAUCCUCAAACUCACUGUUAGCCUCAUUCUUUUCCUUCUAAGCUUUUGUUUAUAGUACCCUGAAGCUGUUAACAAUACUCCCUCAGUUAAAAUUAACAAAGAGACCGCUAAAUUGAGGCUCAGAUCUGUGUUAAGAUCGAGCAAAAAGAGAGUCAACCACGCCAUGGCUGCAUAAACCAGCAUGCCCCACCAAGAUACGGGUCGGAUAACCUUAAAUGCUCAAUUAAUCAGCUUAGAAGGGAAUAAAAUUGACAAAGAUCAUCAUCGCCUCUUUCAAACCGUCCGAUUAUACUCACCACCAUAGCUUCCACCAGCUCCACCGGCAACAUUCAAUGCUCCGGCAGAAGCAUUAAAAAGGAGUUGAAAAGAAAGGCUGAAGGGCAUAAAAACCUCUGAAACAAUAUGUAACAACAAUCCAAACAAGCUGUAAUAUAUAUACUCCCUCCGUUUAAAAUUGAUAAAAGGAUUGUUGGGAUCCUUACAGUAAUGGAGAAAUCAUUGGCUGAAUGUUGAGAGAGGCAACCACCCUUGCAAUGAAAAAUCCUCAACUCUUUGUAGCCUCAUUCAUUCCCUUCUGAGCUUUUUGUUUUUUGUAUCUCAACUCUCGAUAACAUUUUCCUUCAUACCAAACACACCCUAAAUAUAACAAAAAAAGCCAAGCUGAACAGAGAAAAAUUUGAGGCUCAGAUUUGGGUUAAGCUCAGGCAACAAGAGAUUCCAACCAGGCCAUGGCUGCAAAAGCCACCAGAAAAUCUGGGAGCAUGCCCCGCCAAUAUACGGGUUGGAUAACCUCAAAUGCCUGAUUAAUCAGCUCAGAAGGGAACAAACAUUGGCAAAAAUCAUCAUUGCCUCUUUCAAGCUGUCCAAUUAUUCUCAGCACCAUUGCUUCCACCAGCUCCAGUGGCAACAAUCAAUGAUCCGGCGGAACCAUUAAAAAGGAGUUUAAAAAAAGAGUUGGAAGGGCAUAUAGAAACCCAUUUCAAACAAAAGUUGAUAAUCAUAUACUUCCUCUGUUUAAAAUUGAUAAGGGGUUGUUGGGAUUCUUACAAUAAUGGAGAAAUCAUUGACUGACUGCAGUGAGAGGCAACCACCCUUUCAACGAAAAUCCUCAAACUCCCUGUUAGCCUCAUUCUUAUAGUACCCUGAAGCUGGUAAUACUACUCCCUCAGUUUAAAAUUGACGAAGAGACCAGUGCAUUGAGGCUCAGAUCUGUGUUAAACUAGAGUAUAAAGAGAGUCCAACCACGCCAUGGCUGCAAAAAACAGCAUGCCCCGCCAAGAUACGGGUCGGAUAACCUCCAAUGCUCAAUUAAUCAGCUCAGAAGGGAAUAAAGUUACAAGAAUCAUCAUCGCCUCUUCCAAGCCAUCCGAAGCAAUAUAAGCAACUGUUAGAAAAAUUAUAGGAAAUAUAAUUGAAGAAGAAAAUGGCUUUAAGGCAUGAAGAAUCGCUUUCCUUAAAGAGAUAUUGCCCGUAUACAUAUUGGGAAAAAUACAAGCAAUUGCCUUCAAGAUACAACAAAGUCCUUGUAUAUACAUGCAUAUUUUUCUUUUUGGGCUACUUCUAGAGAGUCCUUAUAUUUAUAAAACUUAAGAGAUCGACUUUUCAUAAUAGUCAUGUUUUUUCAUAGUCAUGAAGCAUAAAAUCAACUAGUGAAACUUCUUCUUAAGUAGUCUUGACAAUAGAGGUCAUCUAUCAGAGUAACUAUGACAGAAAGCUUCAUUUGGAUGUUAAUCCAUGGCUUACUUAAAUUACUCAUCAUUUAGGAUUGAAUUCCUUCAUGCACAGAAUAAAGACUAGAAGUAUUGAUUUAUUGUUUAGGUAAUGAGGUCAAUCACUAGUGUGCCCAAAAAAAACCUAGGUAGGACGGAAAAAACCUCAAAAAUUAGUGGUAUCCACAAAACAAGCAAUAACUGCAAAAUUUGCAUAAACUAUAAAAUGAUCUUACUCCCAAUAUGAUUUAUAAAUACACUGUCUUGCUCACAAAAGAUUUAUGAUUUGGCUCGUAUUCUAACACUAACUGUGGUGCUCCUGCAUAAAUUGAUGCAGUUGUAUUACAUCAUGUUAAAAAAUGAACAAUCAAAUUACAGUUUAAACUACAACAGGUCAGGUUGACGAAAUUAUGAACUUUCACCUAUAAGAAAACUAAGCAUAUCCGCAACAAAGUAACUCAAAAAUAUAUGUUAGUACUCAAAUGCCUAGAUUUCUAGACAAAGGAAUACAUUUCUGGGCACAGGCUUUGUAAUUACUAUACAGAGUUCAAAAACAAGGGAUGACAUUAAGGCACACUUAUCUCAGAGAAAGCGCUUCCCUAUUCAUUAUAAUUGAAAAUAGGGUAGUUUUAAAUAUUAAAAAGGAACAUAUUUAUCAAAACAAAGAAACACAAAAAUAGACGUUGACAUUCAUAGAGUUCUAGUCAAAAGAAAACAUUUUUAGGCACACUCGUAUGGAAAAAGCACCUCUAGGAACUCGGUAAGCUUAUACUGGGCAUGCUGUUUUUGUUGUUGGAAUAGGCUCAGAUUCGCCUUCUCUCAGGAAAAAACCAAACUUCAAAAAAACACUAUGGCUUCAAGCAUCAGUUAGCUAACUUAUGAGACAGAAAAGGAAGACCAAAAAUGGAGCUUUCUCCUCCACUUCUCACAGACCCAUCUGCACAUCAAGAUAGAGUCUUUUCUAGCUCAAUGAGAAUAUGUCUGUUUCAUCUUCCAAAGAAAUUCUCUGAACUUUUUGCUUUCUUUAAGGGCACCUUAAGUUUAAGAUCUCCGGGUUGCCCCGCUAAGAUACAGAUCCAAUUGCUCUCCCGCACUAUUGAUUUGCUCAAAGAAAGAAGAAAAUCAUCAUCACAGCCUCAUCCAUCCAAAUGAUAGAAAAUAAAUACUCUCUCCGGUUCAACUUGUUUGUCUUCCCUUUUUGGUUUGUUCCAAAAAGAAUGUCUCUUUACUUUUUUGGCAACACUUAAUUCUAACUUUCCACAUGACAUCUUUAAAACCACAAUAUUAAAGGGCACCUUAAGUUUAAGAUAUCCGGGUUUCCCCGCUAAGAUACGGAUCCAAUUGCUCUCCCGCACUAUUGAUUUUCUCAAAGAAAGAAGAAAAUCGACAUCACAGCCUCAGAAUUUUCGCAACAAUUAUUAUUAUUAUAACUGGGUGUGAGAAUUUGGAGAGAACAAGCAAAGACUUAAGGGUCAUUUGGUCGCUGUUUAGCUGCAACAAGAGCUGUUGAAUUUUUCUUUUUUCACAGCAACACUGAAAUCACAGGUAUUGCAGAGAGGAGUGACAGCCCUUUGAACUUCCUCUCUGCUCUCUGCAACCCUCAUUCUUCGUCUCUGAACUUUUACUUUUCUAGGCUAAGCUUUUUACCUUUUAUGGGAAAUUCUCAUAUGUGUUUCGACCUGCGAAUUUCCCAACUGCAACAACAACAACCCAGUAUAAUUUGACCUCCACCUUGUGGAGGUCAAGAAGCGAUUUUCAAUAGACCCUAAGCAAAUCAAACAUUGAGGCUCAGAUUUGUAAUACUGACGAUCCGGCAAGAUACACUGGAAUCAUCGCCAUGCCUGCAAGCACCGGUUGCAGGGUAACCUGUCAUCUGGAUUGCCACGCCAAGAUACAGGUACAAUCUCUUUCCUGCACUAUCGAUUUGCUCAGAGGAAGAAGAAAAUCAUCAUCAUAGCCUCGGAAUUUUC